UCGGGAAUUUUGGGCAAUGGGCGAAAGCCUGACCCAGCAACGCCGCGUGAAGGAUGAAAUCCCUCGGGAUGUAAACUUCAUAAGAACGGGAAGAAUAAGUCCGGGUUAAUACCACGGACGAUGACGGUACCGUUAGUAAGCUCCGGCUAACUCCGUGCCAGCAGCCGCGGUAAUACGGGGGGAGCAAGCGUUGUUCGGAUUUACUGGGCGUAAAGGGCGCGUAGGCGGCCAGCGCAAGUCAGUUGUGAAAUCUCCGGGCUUAACUCGGAAAGGUCAACUGAUACUGCGCGGCUAGAGUGCGGAAGGGGCAACUGGAAUUCUCGGUGUAGCGGUGAAAUGCGUAGAUAUCGAGAGGAACACCUGCGGCGAAGGCGGGUUGCUGGGCCGACACUGACGCUGAGGCGCGAAAGCUAGGGGAGCGAACGGG
Molecule: ribosomal RNA, 427 nt
Filed under: uncultured bacterium
Lineage: Bacteria
Description: bacterial SSU rRNA
Rfam family: Bacterial small subunit ribosomal RNA
Source: RNAcentral